RNAcentral lists this unclassified non-coding RNA (245 nucleotides) under Crocicreas epicalamia. RNAcentral describes it as "sequence contains 5.8S rRNA gene". The record is from RNAcentral. Lineage: Eukaryota; Fungi; Ascomycota; Leotiomycetes; Helotiales.
GAACGCACAUUGCGCCCCUUGGUAUUCCGGGGGGCAUGCCUCUUCCAGCGUCAUUUCACCCCUCAAGCUCUGCUUGGUCUUGGGCCGCACCGCGCAAGCGGUGGGCCUCGAAAACAGUGGCGGCGCCAUCUGGGCUCUCAGCGUAGUAAUUCUUCUCGCUGUUGGGCUCCGGUGGCCGCCCGCCAGCAACCCCCAACUUUUACAGUUUGACCUGGGAUGAGGUAGGGAUACCCGCUGAACUUAAG